RNAcentral lists this ribosomal RNA (253 nucleotides) under uncultured bacterium. RNAcentral describes it as "partial 16S ribosomal RNA". It matches the Rfam family "Bacterial small subunit ribosomal RNA", at positions 524 to 776 of the family's 1533-position model. The record is from RNAcentral.
UACAGAGGUCCCAAGCGUUGUUCGGAUUCACUGGGCGUAAAGCGCACGUAGGCGGAUUGUUAAGUCAGGGGUGAAAUCCUGGAGCUCAACUCCAGAACUGCCUUUGAUACUGACGGUCUUGAGUUCGGGAGAGGUGAGUGGAACUGCGAGUGUAGAGGUGAAAUUCGUAGAUAUUCGCAAGAACACCAGUGGCGAAGGCGGCUCACUGGCCCGAUACUGACGCUGAGGUGCGAAAGCGUGGGGAGCAAACAGG